Molecule: long non-coding RNA, 280 nt
Organism: Erpetoichthys calabaricus (reedfish)
Lineage: Eukaryota; Metazoa; Chordata; Cladistia; Polypteriformes; Polypteridae
Exons: 2
Source: RefSeq, a predicted model, not a curated record
CAAGCAAGAAGCAAAAUCAGGAAACAGCAAAUUUAAAAAAGUAAAUUUACCAAGGGAAACUUAGAACUUGUAUGUAUAUCUUCUGCAGUUGGAGCUGAAGAUCCAGACAAGUUUCUCCACUCAAAGAAGAACAGUUUUAUUGUUAUUUGCAAAAGGAAUGUAUUAAAAAGUACAAAAUCCAAUGGAGACAGAAGAGAGUAACGCAAAAGCUGCUGCUUCCUGGUAUCUGCUUCAAAAAGACAGACUGCUUGCCCAUGGGAAUAACUCUGAUAUCUCUGGG